RNAcentral lists this microRNA (22 nucleotides) under Lytechinus variegatus (green sea urchin). RNAcentral describes it as "lva-miR-278-3p". Its record names the gene lva-miR-278-3p. Lineage: Eukaryota; Metazoa; Echinodermata; Echinoidea; Temnopleuroida; Toxopneustidae. The record is from miRBase by way of RNAcentral.
UCGGUGGGACUUUCGUUCGACU